CUGCGAGUGAAGAGGGAAGAGCUCAAAUUUAAAAUCUGGCGGGGUAGCCCGUCCGAGUUGUAAAUUAGAGAAGCGUCGUCAGCGCUGGCCUGUGCAAAAGUCUCUUGGAAAAGAGCAUCAUAGAGGGUGACAAUCCCGUGUUUGGCACAGAUCGCCAGGGCGUAUUGAUGCGCUUUCGAAGAGUCGAGUUGUUUGGGAAUGCAGCUCUAAAUGGGUGGUAAAUUCCAUCUAAAGCUAAAUACAGGCGAGAGACCGAUAGCGAACAAGUACCGUGAGGGAAAGAUGAAAAGAACUUUGAAAAGAGAGUUAAACAGUUUGUGAAAUUGUUGAAAGGGAAACGCUUGAAGUCAGACUUGUCUGAUAGAAAUCACCCAGAUCAUCUGGCACACUUUCUGUCGGACUGGUCAGCGUGAAUUUUGACCCGCGGACAACGACGUCGGGAAGGUGGCACCUCCGGGUGUGUUAUAGCCCGUCGAAGCGGACGAGGGUCAGGAUUGAGGAACGCGGUCCAGGACGCUGGCGUAAUGGCUUUAAUCGACCCGUCUUGAAACACGGACCAAGGAGUCUAACAGGCUUGCGAGUGUUUGGGUGGAAAACCCAUGCGCGCAAUGAAAGUGAAAGUUGAGAACCCUGUCGUGGGGUGCAUCGACGCCCGGACCUGAGCUUUUGUGAAGGAUCUGCGGUGGAGCACGCCUGUUGGGACCCGAAAGAUGGUGAACUAUGCCUGAAUAGGGUGAAGCCAGAGGAAACUCUGGUGGAAGCUCGUAGCGAU
This 772-nucleotide ribosomal RNA is filed under the name Clavaria greletii. RNAcentral's name for it is "eukaryotic LSU rRNA". It matches the Rfam family "Eukaryotic large subunit ribosomal RNA", at positions 87 to 884 of the family's 3401-position model. The record is from RNAcentral. Lineage: Eukaryota; Fungi; Basidiomycota; Agaricomycetes; Agaricales; Clavariaceae.